UACGUAGGGUGCAAGCGUUGUCCGGAUUUAUUGGGUUUAAAGGGUGCGCAGGCGGCUUAUUAAGUUAGUGGUGAAAUCACCCGGCUCAACCGGGUACCCGCCAUUGAUACUGGUAAGCUUGAGUAUGUUCGAGGAGAUUGGAACGUGUAGUGUAGCGGUGAAAUGCAUAGAUAUUACGCAGAACACCAAUUGCGAAGGCA
This 200-nucleotide ribosomal RNA is filed under the name uncultured bacterium. RNAcentral's name for it is "partial 16S ribosomal RNA". It matches the Rfam family "Bacterial small subunit ribosomal RNA", at positions 524 to 723 of the family's 1533-position model. The record is from RNAcentral.